RNAcentral lists this ribosomal RNA (2194 nucleotides) under Escherichia coli. RNAcentral's name for it is "partial 23S ribosomal RNA". It matches the Rfam family "Bacterial large subunit ribosomal RNA", at positions 1 to 2228 of the family's 2925-position model. The record is from RNAcentral. Lineage: Bacteria; Pseudomonadati; Pseudomonadota; Gammaproteobacteria; Enterobacterales; Enterobacteriaceae.
GACUAAGCGUACACGGUGGAUGCCCUGGCAGUCAGAGGCGAUGAAGGACGUGCUAAUCUGCGAUAAGCGUCGGUAAGGUGAUAUGAACCGUUAUAACCGGCGAUUUCCGAAUGGGGAAACCCAGUGUGUUUCGACACACUAUCAUUAACUGAAUCCAUAGGUUAAUGAGGCGAACCGGGGGAACUGAAACAUCUAAGUACCCCGAGGAAAAGAAAUCAACCGAGAUUCCCCCAGUAGCGGCGAGCGAACGGGGAGCAGCCCAGAGCCUGAAUCAGUGUGUGUGUUAGUGGAAGCGUCUGGAAAGGCGCGCGAUACAGGGUGACAGCCCCGUACACAAAAAUGCACAUGCUGUGAGCUCGAUGAGUAGGGCGGGACACGUGGUAUCCUGUCUGAAUAUGGGGGGACCAUCCUCCAAGGCUAAAUACUCCUGACUGACCGAUAGUGAACCAGUACCGUGAGGGAAAGGCGAAAAGAACCCCGGCGAGGGGAGUGAAAAAGAACCUGAAACCGUGUACGUACAAGCAGUGGGAGCACGCUUAGGCGUGUGACUGCGUACCUUUUGUAUAAUGGGUCAGCGACUUAUAUUCUGUAGCAAGGUUAACCGAAUAGGGGAGCCGAAGGGAAACCGAGUCUUAACUGGGCGUUAAGUUGCAGGGUAUAGACCCGAAACCCGGUGAUCUAGCCAUGGGCAGGUUGAAGGUUGGGUAACACUAACUGGAGGACCGAACCGACUAAUGUUGAAAAAUUAGCGGAUGACUUGUGGCUGGGGGUGAAAGGCCAAUCAAACCGGGAGAUAGCUGGUUCUCCCCGAAAGCUAUUUAGGUAGCGCCUCGUGAAUUCAUCUCCGGGGGUAGAGCACUGUUUCGGCAAGGGGGUCAUCCCGACUUACCAACCCGAUGCAAACUGCGAAUACCGGAGAAUGUUAUCACGGGAGACACACGGCGGGUGCUAACGUCCGUCGUGAAGAGGGAAACAACCCAGACCGCCAGCUAAGGUCCCAAAGUCAUGGUUAAGUGGGAAACGAUGUGGGAAGGCCCAGACAGCCAGGAUGUUGGCUUAGAAGCAGCCAUCAUUUAAAGAAAGCGUAAUAGCUCACUGGUCGAGUCGGCCUGCGCGGAAGAUGUAACGGGGCUAAACCAUGCACCGAAGCUGCGGCAGCGACGCUGAUGCGUUGUUGGGUAGGGGAGCGUUCUGUAAGCCUGUGAAGGUGUACUGUGAGGUAUGCUGGAGGUAUCAGAAGUGCGAAUGCUGACAUAAGUAACGAUAAAGCGGGUGAAAAGCCCGCUCGCCGGAAGACCAAGGGUUCCUGUCCAACGUUAAUCGGGGCAGGGUGAGUCGACCCCUAAGGCGAGGCCGAAAGGCGUAGUCGAUGGGAAACAGGUUAAUAUUCCUGUACUUGGUGUUACUGCGAAGGGGGGACGGAGAAGGCUAUGUUGGCCGGGCGACGGUUGUCCCGGUUUAAGCGUGUAGGCUGGUUUUCCAGGCAAAUCCGGAAAAUCAAGGCUGAGGCGUGAUGACGAGGCACUACGGUGCUGAAGCAACAAAUGCCCUGCUUCCAGGAAAAGCCUCUAAGCAUCAGGUAACAUCAAAUCGUACCCCAAACCGACACAGGUGGUCAGGUAGAGAAUACCAAGGCGCUUGAGAGAACUCGGGUGAAGGAACUAGGCAAAAUGGUGCCGUAACUUCGGGAGAAGGCACGCUGAUAUGUAGGUGAAGCGACUUGCUCGUGGAGCUGAAAUCAGUCGAAGAUACCAGCUGGCUGCAACUGUUUAUUAAAAACACAGCACUGUGCAAACACGAAAGUGGACGUAUACGGUGUGACGCCUGCCCGGUGCCGGAAGGUUAAUUGAUGGGGUUAGCGCAAGCGAAGCUCUUGAUCGAAGCCCCGGUAAACGGCGGCCGUAACUAUAACGGUCCUAAGGUAGCGAAAUUCCUUGUCGGGUAAGUUCCGACCUGCACGAAUGGCGUAAUGAUGGCCAGGCUGUCUCCACCCGAGACUCAGUGAAAUUGAACUCGCUGUGAAGAUGCAGUGUACCCGCGGCAAGACGGAAAGACCCCGUGAACCUUUACUAUAGCUUGACACUGAACAUUGAGCCUUGAUGUGUAGGAUAGGUGGGAGGCUUUGAAGUGUGGACGCCAGUCUGCAUGGAGCCGACCUUGAAAUACCACCCUUUAAUGUUUGAUGUUCUAACGU